AUUAUAUACAGGGCCUUGCUCUGCUUUGAAGCUAAUUCAUGUUUUCUUUGUGAUUAAAAGUGAAUGGAUUUCCGUUUAUCUCUGUAAUAUCCAAUUCGUCUGUGAGAAGUAGUUGUUUUUUUUUUCACUUUGUUUCAGAAUCCAUGUGUGAUCCAAUAUGGAUGAGUUGCAGAAAGUUUGGAAAAAUUAGAGUUAUGGAAUUUUACAGCUAGUUACACGUGCUAAUAAAC
This is a non-coding RNA of Pelobates cultripes (western spadefoot toad), 230 nucleotides long. Lineage: Eukaryota; Metazoa; Chordata; Amphibia; Anura; Pelobatidae. The record is from the annotation of a GenBank genome assembly.